This 697-nucleotide ribosomal RNA is filed under the name uncultured Lachnospiraceae bacterium. RNAcentral describes it as "bacterial SSU rRNA". It matches the Rfam family "Bacterial small subunit ribosomal RNA", at positions 35 to 745 of the family's 1533-position model. The record is from RNAcentral. Lineage: Bacteria; Bacillati; Bacillota; Clostridia; Lachnospirales; Lachnospiraceae.
GCUGGCGGCGCGCCUAACACAUGCAAGUCGAACGGAGCUUAGAGAGCUUGCUUUUUAAGCUUAGUGGCGAACGGGUGAGUAACGCGUGAGUAACCUGCCCUAGAGUGGGGGACAACAGUUGGAAACGACUGCUAAUACCGCAUAAGCCCACGGUACCGCAUGGUACUGAGGGAAAAGGAUUUAUUCGCUUUAGGAUGGACUCGCGUCCAAUUAGCUAGUUGGUGAGGUAACGGCCCACCAAGGCGACGAUUGGUAGCCGGACUGAGAGGUUGAACGGCCACAUUGGGACUGAGACACGGCCCAGACUCCUACGGGAGGCAGCAGUGGGGGAUAUUGCACAAUGGGGGAAACCCUGAUGCAGCGACGCCGCGUGGAGGAAGAAGGUUUUCGGAUUGUAAACUCCUGUCGUUAGGGACGAUAAUGACGGUACCUAACAAGAAAGCACCGGCUAACUACGUGCCAGCAGCCGCGGUAAAACGUAGGGUGCAAGCGUUGUCCGGAAUUACUGGGUGUAGAGGGAGCGCAGGCGGGAAGACAAGUUGGAAGUGAAAACCAUGGGCUCAACCCAUGAAUUGCUUUCAAAACUGUUUUUCUUGAGUAGUGCAGAGGUAGAUGGAAUUCCCGGUGUAGCGGUGGAAUGCGUAGAUAUCGGGAGGAACACCAGUGGCGAAGGCGGUCUACUGGGCACCAACUGACG